UGACACUGAUGAGCACUUUAUCCCGAAACUGAUCAUCUAUUGAUGAGACAAACUUAACGGAUCUGAUUACUGAGUC
This 76-nucleotide small nucleolar RNA is filed under the name Lates calcarifer (barramundi perch). Its description in RNAcentral is "Small nucleolar RNA SNORD50 (ENSLCAG00010020983.1)". It matches the Rfam family "Small nucleolar RNA SNORD50". Rfam says of the family: U50 belongs to the C/D class of snoRNA which contain the C (UGAUGA) and D (CUGA) box motifs. Most of the members of the box C/D family function in directing site-specific 2'-O-methylation of substrate RNAs. The record is from Rfam by way of RNAcentral. Lineage: Eukaryota; Metazoa; Chordata; Actinopteri; Centropomidae.